GACGAACACUGGCGGCGUGCCUAAUACAUGCAAGUAGAACGCUGAAGGAGGAGCUUGCUUCUCCGGAUGAGUUGCGAACGGGUGAGUAACGCGUAGGUAACCUGCCUGGUAGCGGGGGAUAACUAUUGGAAACGAUAGCUAAUACCGCAUAAGAGUAGAUGUCGCAUGACAUUUGCUUAAAAGGUGCAACUGCACCACUACCAGAUGGACCUGCGUUGUAUUAGCUAGUUGGUGAGGUAACGGCUCACCAAGGCAACGAUACAUAGCCGACCUGAGAGGGUGAUCGGCCACACUGGGACUGAGACACGGCCCAGACUCCUACGGGAGGCAGCAGUAGGGAAUCUUCGGCAAUGGACGGAAGUCUGACCGAGCAACGCCGCGUGAGUGAAGAAGGUUUUCGGAUCGUAAAGCUCUGUUGUAAGAGAAGAACGAGUGUGAGAGUGGAAAGUUCACACUGUGACGGUAUCUUACCAGAAAGGGACGGCUAACUACGUG
Molecule: ribosomal RNA, 495 nt
Filed under: uncultured bacterium
Lineage: Bacteria
Description: partial 16S ribosomal RNA
Rfam family: Bacterial small subunit ribosomal RNA
Source: RNAcentral